RNAcentral lists this ribosomal RNA (484 nucleotides) under uncultured bacterium. Its description in RNAcentral is "partial 16S ribosomal RNA". It matches the Rfam family "Bacterial small subunit ribosomal RNA", at positions 30 to 507 of the family's 1533-position model. The record is from RNAcentral.
AUUGAACGCUGGCGGCAGGCCUAACACAUGCAAGUCGAGCGGAUGAAGGGAGCUUGCUCCUGGAUUCAGCGGCGGACGGGUGAGUAAUGCCUAGGAAUCUGCCUGGUAGUGGGGGAUAACGUCCGGAAACGGGCGCUAAUACCGCAUACGUCCUGAGGGAGAAAGUGGGGGAUCUUCGGACCUCACGCUAUCAGAUGAGCCUAGGUCGGAUUAGCUAGUUGGUGGGGUAAAGGCCUACCAAGGCGACGAUCCGUAACUGGUCUGAGAGGAUGAUCAGUCACACUGGAACUGAGACACGGUCCAGACUCCUACGGGAGGCAGCAGUGGGGAAUAUUGGACAAUGGGCGAAAGCCUGAUCCAGCCAUGCCGCGUGUGUGAAGAAGGUCUUCGGAUUGUAAAGCACGUUAAGUUGGGAGGAAGGGCAGUAAGUUAAUACCUUGCUGUUGUGACGGUACCAACAGAAUAAGCACCGGCUAACUUCGUG